Molecule: ribosomal RNA, 301 nt
Filed under: uncultured bacterium
Lineage: Bacteria
Description: partial 16S ribosomal RNA
Rfam family: Bacterial small subunit ribosomal RNA
Source: RNAcentral
CAGUAGCCACGGGAAUACGGAGGGGGCUAGCGUUGUUCGGAAUUACCGGGCGUAAAGCGCACGUAGGCGGCUUGGUAAGUUAGAGGUGAAAGCCUGGAGCUCAACUCCAGAAUUGCCUUUAAGACUGCCGAGCUAGCAGGUGAGAGAGGUAAGUGGAAUUCCGAGUGUAGAGGUGAAAUUCGUAGAUAUUCGGAAGAACACCAGUGGCGAAGGCGGCUUACUGGCUCAUACUGGACGCUGAGGUGCGAAAGCGUGGGGAGCAAACAGGAUUAGAUACCCCAGUAGUCCCUGUCUCUUAUAA